This 71-nucleotide transfer RNA is filed under the name Ictidomys tridecemlineatus (thirteen-lined ground squirrel). RNAcentral describes it as "Spermophilus tridecemlineatus (thirteen-lined ground squirrel) tRNA". It matches the Rfam family "tRNA". Rfam says of the family: Transfer RNA (tRNA) molecules are approximately 80 nucleotides in length. The record is from Rfam by way of RNAcentral. Lineage: Eukaryota; Metazoa; Chordata; Mammalia; Rodentia; Sciuridae.
GUGGUUGUGGUUCAGUGGUAGAGUGCUCACCUAGCACGUGUGAGGCACUGGGUUUGAUACUCAGCACCACA